RNAcentral lists this ribosomal RNA (361 nucleotides) under Shewanella sp. 2127. Its description in RNAcentral is "bacterial SSU rRNA". It matches the Rfam family "Bacterial small subunit ribosomal RNA", at positions 1087 to 1447 of the family's 1533-position model. Lineage: Bacteria; Pseudomonadati; Pseudomonadota; Gammaproteobacteria; Alteromonadales; Shewanellaceae. The record is from RNAcentral.
CCGCAACGAGCGCAACCCCUAUCCUUAUUUGCCAGCACGUAAUGGUGGGAACUUUAGGGAGACUGCCGGUGAUAAACCGGAGGAAGGUGGGGACGACGUCAAGUCAUCAUGGCCCUUACGAGUAGGGCUACACACGUGCUACAAUGGCGAGUACAGAGGGUUGCAAAGCCGCGAGGUGGAGCUAAUCUCACAAAGCUCGUCGUAGUCCGGAUUGGAGUCUGCAACUCGACUCCAUGAAGUCGGAAUCGCUAGUAAUCGUGAAUCAGAAUGUCACGGUGAAUACGUUCCCGGGCCUUGUACACACCGCCCGUCACGCCAUGGGAGUGGGCUGCAAAAGAAGUGGGUAGUUUAACCUUCGGGA